GUCCCUGUAGCGAAAUGGGUAGCGCGUUGGACUUCUAAUCCAAAGCUCUUGGGUUUGAACCCCACCUGGGAUA
This 73-nucleotide transfer RNA is filed under the name Trichonephila clavata. It matches the Rfam family "tRNA". From Rfam's summary of the family: Transfer RNA (tRNA) molecules are approximately 80 nucleotides in length. Their secondary structure includes four short double-helical elements and three loops (D, anti-codon, and T loops). Further hydrogen bonds mediate the characteristic L-shaped molecular structure. tRNAs have two regions of fundamental functional importance: the anti-codon, which is responsible for specific mRNA codon recognition, and the 3' end, to which the tRNAs corresponding amino acid is attached (by aminoacyl-tRNA synthetases). tRNAs cope with the degeneracy of the genetic code in two manners: having more than one tRNA (with a specific anti-codon) for a particular amino acid; and 'wobble' base-pairing, i.e. permitting non-standard base-pairing at the 3rd anti-codon position. Lineage: Eukaryota; Metazoa; Arthropoda; Arachnida; Araneae; Nephilidae. The record is from Rfam by way of RNAcentral.